GAAUAUUAAAUCAUCCAAGUUCUUAAAGGUGUUAAAAGCUGGCUUCCCAGUGCCUAGCGGAUGCCACACAUGGUGAAAGAGCCCCCUGGGAAGCUAGGCCAGACUAUAAAAUCCCAGUGCCCAAAAUUGGGCACGACAAAAACUGUCACCUUAGAAACUGUCCGCCCUGCCUGGAGGUCAGCUGGUCCUGGCUAUGUGGCUUCAAGCAAAUUUCUCACUUCUCAGAACAGCUUCCUCCUGUCUAAAAGAAGAAAGGAGAGAGGGUUCAGAGGUUAAUAACAUUUUCUGUUCUUACAAGUCUAGUCCGCGGCACCCACAUGGCCAUUCACAACCACCUGUAACUCUAGUUCCAGUACAGUGUGGGUCUAAACCUUCCUAACACUGCAGCCUUAAACACACUUCCUCAUGUUGUACUGACUCCCAACCAUAAAAUUAUUUUGUUGCUACUACAGAACUGUGAUUUUGCUACUAUGAUGAAUCGGAAUGUAAAUAUCUGAUAUGCAGGGCAUCUGAUAUGCGACCUCCCAAAGGGGCCGUGGCUCAUAGGUUAAGAACCACUAUUCUAGUGGCUCUGAUACCCUCUUCUGGCCUCUCCAGGGAUCAGGCAUGCAGCUGUGGAUAUACAUACAUGGAGGCAAAACACUUAUAUUCAUAAAAUAAACAUGAGUAAAUCUUAAGAAAAGACGAAUGAUCAAAACACGUUGUGCAAAAUUCUCAAAAAUCUGAUACUGAAACAAACAAAACGGAGGAGAAAAAUGUCCGUUUGUUAGUAAUGUAUGAAGGAAGGACCAAUGUUCAAGCAGGUGGAACCAACCAUAACUAUGGAAAAUGGAAAAGUGAAUAAUCUACAAAUAACCUUUAUAAAGCUAAAAUCCCUCAUGGAAGACUUGGCGAAGCUCACAGGAAAAGAGCCAUGGACAGUCAUUUGUUUUCACAGUUCCUACUUUGGCUGGUGUUGGAAAGUAGAACAGAGGGAGCCAUCACAUCUCCUUCCAUGUCUGCUUCCGUUUCCAGAUGACAGUGGUCACACCCGACAGAACUCACUCUCCCACCAGGAUUUCCUCCAGACUCACCCCAGUUGCCUACCUGGUGUGUUUCCUUCAAAUCUGUUCUUGAUUUUAUUUUAUUUUCCUUUUUCAGAACAGAUUUUUCUUUUUCUGAGUGGCACUUGUCAACUUCUCCCCCUCUCUGGUUAUCCUAAUAAAUCUAUUAAAGAAAAAAGACAGUGUCACAAGAAUUUUUUAAUUUUAUGUAAAUUUAAGAGAAAA
This 1268-nucleotide long non-coding RNA is filed under the name Mus spicilegus (steppe mouse). RNAcentral describes it as "lncRNA (ENSMSIG00000020023.1)". Lineage: Eukaryota; Metazoa; Chordata; Mammalia; Rodentia; Muridae. The record is from RNAcentral.